Long non-coding RNA from Saimiri boliviensis boliviensis (Bolivian squirrel monkey), 2083 nucleotides. RefSeq lists it as uncharacterized. The record is from RefSeq and is a predicted model, not a curated record. NCBI's taxonomy places the organism in Eukaryota, Metazoa, Chordata, Mammalia, Primates, Cebidae.
UGGGAACGACGGGGCCCGCCAGCAGGGUGGCUGAGGGGAAGGCCUCGGCCCCGGGCCGCAGGCAGGAAUUGAGGGUCGGGAGCCGAAGUGGAACUGGAGCCGGCGCCACGAGACGCGGCCCCAAGGGGCGCCUCCACCCAGUGGCCCUCCCCAACCCCACUCCCGCGGCCCUCCUGCCCCGGCGUCACCCGGCUGCGCUAGGACCUCCAAGGGCGGCGUCUGGGAGCCCUCUGCCUCACCUCCUCCCCAGGGUCAGGUUGCAGAAAGGACAAGCUCCUCCGCCGUCCCUGGUGGGCAUGGAAGGAGGGCAAGUGAUGGCAGCCGAGGCUAUGGUGUGACCAAGGUGGACUAAAGGAAAAGCUAUAUUGAAGAAAACUUCUGGACCUGCCAACCAAGAAGGUCCCAAGAGUCCAGACUGGGUGACCACGUGGACCCUCAUCCUUCACCUACUCAUCCUGCCUAGAAUCCAGCGAACAUUUUAGGAGGUAGCUACUAAAGAGAGCCAUGGGGAAGAAAGAAUUCUGCUGUGUCUCCUGCCCAGCCCCAGCUGCCGGACACAGCUGCAGGGAGGGAGGAAAGCGAGAUUUCACCGGGAAGCUGCCGGCUGCCCAGCACUGCCAGACAUGGUCAACGAAGGUACAAAGAGCAUCUGGAGGACCCAGUCCUGGUCUCUGAUUCCUCAGAAAGGGGCCUAGCCCUGGUCUCUGAUUCCUCAAAAAGGUCUCCACCCUAGUACCUCAUGUGCCUUGGGAUCCAGCAUCAAAGUUCAGAAGUGGGCUCAGCCAGCAGCUGGCCGUGCUCACACACUGAAGCAUCCUUAGUCAGCUCCUGGCUACCCAGCAGAGCAGAAGCUAUGCCCAAACUCGGGGUCACCCGACUCCUCUUCACCUCUUACAUCCCAGCCCUCAGCAAAUCCCCCGAUCCAGCCUCCCUUCCAGCUAUAUCCAGAAUCUGGCCACUUCUCAUCACUUCCAUCCUUGCAACUCUGACCCAGCAACCAGCCUCACCCACCAAGACUACUACCACCAGCCCCUGGCCUGCUCCCUGUUCCUGCCAUCACUGCGGCCUUCACUCUUUUGCAUUCUGUCUCCCCCCACACCUCCAGAUGGCACCUGCUAGAGGAGGUCUGUUCUGGCCUCUGCACAAACCGGACAGAGGCUUCCCAAGUGGCUUAGAGUAAAACCCCAGUGACAGCCUUGGAGGACCCGGGGCAUUUGGUCACUCUCUGAACCCGUCUCCCACCACUCGCCCUGGUGACAGCAGUGCCCUCACUCUGCAUCAAGGACUUUGCAUGUUGCUUCUUCAGCCUGAAAUGCUCUCCCCUAGGAAUCCUCCAUAGCUCAUUCCUUCACCACAUUGAGGAGAAGAAGCCUGUUUGGAGCCCCCUUUCUGAAAGUUCAGGCCCUGCCCCCACCACGUCUAACCCCAUGCCUGCUCUGUUCUCCCCUGAGCAUGUGCUCCUCUGGAACGUACUGUGUCACCACUUGCCGCCAACGCCUGCAGGACACCUCUGUGGACACCCGUGACACCUCAAAGCAUCUCUGCUGCCAGAGCUUCACUAGGACUCAUGAGACUAAGCAGACGUUUAUACCCACGGCUAAGACUCAACAAGGACACAGCAGGGUCUGAGGGAUCAGGGCACAGACUCGCUGUGCUCUCUCUCUCAUGAGGGCUGCACGGAGCACACCCUGCACCUGCAUCUCCCCAGGGAAGUAGAUGCUCAGAGCUGGGGCAGAGGCUGGAGCUGCUCAUGUCAGCACACUCUCUGCACAGCACAGCUAACAAGACUCCAGACUCCCAAUAGGAAAGCGGCUGUUCACAAACCACAUUAUCUGUAAAAACAGUCAGCAGGCCAGGACAGAGGGGCAGGAUCCUGAAAGUCAAGUUCCCAGAUGCCAGCCCAGGGCCAGCCCCUGUCAUCAGCUGUCCCAGUGAGGAGGUCUGCGACAGAUGCUCUCCUCACUGAAAUGUGAGCUUCAUGGAGGGUUUUGUUUUGUUUGUUCGUUGCUCUGUCUCUCUGGUACAGAAUGGGUGCUCCAUAAACAUCUGCUGAAUGAAUUAAUGAUCCUCAAGUAUAAGCCCA